This 274-nucleotide ribosomal RNA is filed under the name uncultured bacterium. Its description in RNAcentral is "partial 16S ribosomal RNA". It matches the Rfam family "Bacterial small subunit ribosomal RNA", at positions 523 to 796 of the family's 1533-position model. The record is from RNAcentral.
AUACGGAGGGGGCUAGCGUUGUUCGGAAUUACUGGGCGUAAAGCGCACGUAGGCGGAUUAAAAAGUCAGAGGUGAAAUCCCAGGGCUUAACCCUGGAACUGCCUUUAAAACUAGUAGUCUAGAGUUCGAGGGAGGUGAGUGGAAUUCCAAGUGUAGAGGUGAAAUUCGUAGAUAUUUGGAGGAACACCAGUGGCGAAGGCGGCUCACUGGCUCGAUACUGACGCUGAGGUGCGAAAGCGUGGGGAGCAAACAGGAUUAGAAACCCCUGUAGUCC